This 372-nucleotide ribosomal RNA is filed under the name uncultured organism. RNAcentral's name for it is "bacterial SSU rRNA". It matches the Rfam family "Bacterial small subunit ribosomal RNA", at positions 526 to 896 of the family's 1533-position model. The record is from RNAcentral.
CGUAGGAGGCGAGCGUUAUCCGGAUUCACUGGGCGUAAAGCGCGUGCAGGCGGUUUGGUAAGUUGGGCGUGAAAGCUCCCGGCUCAACUGGGAGAGGUCGUUCAAUACUACCGAACUAGAGAACAGAAGAGGAAGAUGGAAUUCCCGGUGUAGUGGUGAAAUGCGUAGAUAUCGGGAGGAACACCAGUGGCGAAGGCGAUCUUCUGGUCUGUUUCUGACGCUCAGACGCGACAGCUAGGGUAGUAAACGGGAUUAGAGACCCCGGUAAUCCUAGCCGUAAACGAUGUGAACUUGGCGUCGGUGGCUUAAACACCAUCGGUGCCGAAGCAAACGCGAUAAGUUCACCGCCUGGGGACUACGGCCGCAAGGUUA